GGGUUGUGAGGUUAAGCGACUAAGCGUACACGGUGGAUGCCCUGGCAGUCAGAGGCGAUGAAGGACGUGCUAAUCUGCGAAAAGCGUCGGUAAGGUGAUAUGAACCGUUAUAACCGGCGAUGUCCGAAUGGGGAAACCCAGUGUGAUUCGUCACACUAUCGUUAACUGAAUACAUAGGUUAACGAGGCGAACCGGGGGAACUGAAACAUCUAAGUACCCCGAGGAAAAGAAAUCAACCGAGAUUCCCCCAGUAGCGGCGAGCGAACGGGGAGCAGCCCAGAGUCUGAAUCAGCUUGUGUGUUAGUGGAACGGUCUGGAAAGUCCGACGGUACAGGGUGAUAGUCCCGUACACCAAAAUGCACAGGUUGUGAACUCGAAGAGUAGGGCGGGACACGUGGUAUCCUGUCUGAAUAUGGGGGGACCAUCCUCCAAGGCUAAAUACUCCUGACUGACCGAUAGUGAACCAGUACCGUGAGGGAAAGGCGAAAAGAACCCCGGCGAGGGGAGUGAAAAAGAACCUGAAACCGUGUACGUACAAGCAGUGGGAGCACCUUCGGGUGUGACUGCGUACCUUUUGUAUAAUGGGUCAGCGACUUAUAUUCUGUAGCAAGGUUAACCGUAUAGGGGAGCCGCAGGGAAACCGAGUCUUAACUGGGCGUUAAGUUGCAGGGUAUAGACCCGAAACCCGGUGAUCUAGCCAUGGGCAGGUUGAAGGUUGGGUAACACUAACUGGAGGACCGAACCGACUAAUGUUGAAAAAUUAGCGGAUGACUUGUGGCUGGGGGUGAAAGGCCAAUCAAACCGGGAGAUAGCUGGUUCUCCCCGAAAGCUAUUUAGGUAGCGCCUCGUGAACUCAUCUUCGGGGGUAGAGCACUGUUUCGGCUAGGGGGUCAUCCCGACUUACCAACCCGAUGCAAACUACGAAUACCGAAGAAUGUUAUCACGGGAGACACACGGCGGGUGCUAACGUCCGUCGUGAAGAGGGAAACAACCCAGACCGCCAGCUAAGGUCCCAAAGUCAUGGUUAAGUGGGAAACGAUGUGGGAAGGCACAGACAGCCAGGAUGUUGGCUUAGAAGCAGCCAUCAUUUAAAGAAAGCGUAAUAGCUCACUGGUCGAGUCGGCCUGCGCGGAAGAUGUAACGGGGCUAAACCAUGCACCGAAGCUGCGGCAGCGACACUAUGUGUUGUUGGGUAGGGGAGCGUUCUGUAAGCCUGCGAAGGUGACCUGUGAGGGUUGCUGGAGGUAUCAGAAGUGCGAAUGCUGACAUAAGUAACGAUAAAGCGGGUGAAAAGCCCGCUCGCCGGAAGACCAAGGGUUCCUGUCCAACGUUAAUCGGGGCAGGGUGAGUCGACCCCUAAGGCGAGGCCGAAAGGCGUAGUCGAUGGGAAACAGGUUAAUAUUCCUGUACUUGGUGUUACUGCGAAGGGGGGACGGAGAAGGCUAUGUUAGCCGGGCGACGGUUGUCCCGGUUUAAGCAUGUAGGCUGAUUGUCCAGGCAAAUCCGGAUAAUCAAGGCUGAGGUGUGAUGACGAGGCACUACGGUGCUGAAGUAACAAAUGCCCUGCUUCCAGGAAAAGCCUCUAAGCAUCAGGUAACAUCAAAUCGUACCCCAAACCGACACAGGUGGUCAGGUAGAGAAUACCAAGGCGCUUGAGAGAACUCGGGUGAAGGAACUAGGCAAAAUGGUGCCGUAACUUCGGGAGAAGGCACGCUGGUGUGUAGGUGAAGUCCCUGCGGAUGGAGCUGAGACCAGUCGAAGAUACCAGCUGGCUGCAACUGUUUAUUAAAAACACAGCACUGUGCAAACACGAAAGUGGACGUAUACGGUGUGACGCCUGCCCGGUGCCGGAAGGUUAAUUGAUGGGGUUAUCCGUAAGGAGAAGCUCUUGAUCGAAGCCCCGGUAAACGGCGGCCGUAACUAUAACGGUCCUAAGGUAGCGAAAUUCCUUGUCGGGUAAGUUCCGACCUGCACGAAUGGCGUAAUGAUGGCCAGGCUGUCUCCACCCGAGACUCAGUGAAAUUGAACUCGCUGUGAAGAUGCAGUGUACCCGCGGCAAGACGGAAAGACCCCGUGAACCUUUACUAUAGCUUGACACUGAACAUUGAGCCUUGAUGUGUAGGAUAGGUGGGAGGCUUUGAAGCGUGGACGCCAGUCUGCGUGGAGCCAACCUUGAAAUACCACCCUUUAAUGUUUGAUGUUCUAACGUUGGCCCCUUACCGGGGUUGCGGACAGUGUCUGGUGGGUAGUUUGACUGGGGCGGUCUCCUCCCAAAGCGUAACGGAGGAGCACGAAGGUUAGCUAAUCCUGGUCGGACAUCAGGAGGUUAGUGCAAUGGCAUAAGCUAGCUUGACUGCGAGCGUGACGGCGCGAGCAGGUGCGAAAGCAGGUCAUAGUGAUCCGGUGGUUCUGAAUGGAAGGGCCAUCGCUCAACGGAUAAAAGGUACUCCGGGGAUAACAGGCUGAUACCGCCCAAGAGUUCAUAUCGACGGCGGUGUUUGGCACCUCGAUGUCGGCUCAUCACAUCCUGGGGCUGAAGUAGGUCCCAAGGGUAUGGCUGUUCGCCAUUUAAAGUGGUACGCGAGCUGGGUUUAGAACGUCGUGAGACAGUUCGGUCCCUAUCUGCCGUGGGCGCUGGAGAAUUGAGGGGGGCUGCUCCUAGUACGAGAGGACCGGAGUGGACGCAUCACUGGUGUUCGGGUUGUCAUGCCAAUGGCACUGCCCGGUAGCUAAAUGCGGAAGAGAUAAGUGCUGAAAGCAUCUAAGCACGAAACUUGCCCCGAGAUGAGUUCUCCCUGAGACUUUAAGUCUCCUGAAGGAACGUU
This 2825-nucleotide ribosomal RNA is filed under the name Klebsiella pneumoniae. RNAcentral's name for it is "partial 23S ribosomal RNA". It matches the Rfam family "Bacterial large subunit ribosomal RNA". Lineage: Bacteria; Pseudomonadati; Pseudomonadota; Gammaproteobacteria; Enterobacterales; Enterobacteriaceae. The record is from RNAcentral. RNAcentral also lists the same sequence under 1 other name.